ACUCCUACGGGAGGCAGCAGUGGGGAAUAUUGCACAAUGGGCGCAAGCCUGAUGCAGCCAUGCCGCGUGUAUGAAGAAGGCCUUCGGGUUGUAAAGUACUUUCAGCAGUGAGGAAGGCAGGUACGUUAAUAGCGUGCUUGUUUGUACGUUAGCUGCAGAAGAAGCACCGGCUAACUCCGUGCCAGCAGCCGCGGUAAUACGGAGGGUGCGAGCGUUAAUCGGAAUUACUGGGCGUAAAGCGCAUGCAGGUGGUUUGUUAAGUCAGAUGUGAAAGCCCGGGGCUCAACCUCGGAAUUGCAUUUGAAACUGGCAGACUAGAGUACUGUAGAGGGGGUAGAAUUUCAGGUGUAGCGGUGAAAUGCGUAGAGAUCUGAAGGAAUACCGGUAGGCGAAGCGGCCCCUGGACAGAUACUGACACUCAGAUGCGAAAGCGUGGGAGC
Molecule: ribosomal RNA, 440 nt
Filed under: uncultured bacterium
Lineage: Bacteria
Description: bacterial SSU rRNA
Rfam family: Bacterial small subunit ribosomal RNA
Source: RNAcentral